Molecule: long non-coding RNA, 3078 nt
Filed under: Carica papaya (papaya)
Lineage: Eukaryota; Viridiplantae; Streptophyta; Magnoliopsida; Brassicales; Caricaceae
Description: long non-coding RNA (CPAP_LNC015319)
Source: RNAcentral
AUGGACUUUGGGUGAUUUGAUAUUCAUGUUCUAGAGUUCAACGGCAUGAAUGAUGGCAACAUGGAGAAACCUAAGAGUAUUUCAUUUGUUUUUGUUAUUAGUGAAUAUAUGUUUGUAAACAUUUGUGCACCCACGCAUGACUAGAUGGUAUCCCGUUUGCCCUCAUUGAAAAUAAGGGUAGGCGGCUACGUGCGUAAGUUUGUAAUCAGUGAAACAUAAUUUAAGAUAAGUAAUUUGUAAUUAAAACUGAGUCAAAAGACGAGUCUUCUCUUGUGUACGUAAAUUGUGUAAACCCAUCGAAUACAAUAUUAACUUUUUUUGUGACAUUUUAAGUAAGAUAAAUAUUUGAUUUGGAUGAAAAUAUUGACUAUUUGACUUGACAACGAAAUUAGAUAAGAUUUCUUUUUAAAUAUUAUUUUCCAACUAUGCAUUAACGAAUUUUUUUAAAUUUAUCUAUGAUACAUUAUUUUCAUCUAUCUUACUAAGUCUGUAAAACUCAUCCAAAUCUCCAUUUUCCCAUAUGCAAAGUUAGAAGAAAAUAUUAAGAAGCCAUGUUUAGAGCAUACUAGUGUUUUUUUCUUAUACUCAAUGAUUCCAUUUUAUAAUUAGGUUAUCCUUUAUUUUUGUACAUUAUGAGUAGAUAGCCUAUUUAUCCUUUAGAUAUAACUUUUGUAAAUUUUGUAUGAGAUGUAUAAUUCCAUUGCAAUAUAAAUAUUUAUUUUAUGUCUACUCAUUUGGACUUUUGUAAAAAAUGACUUAUGUAUGUUGCUUUUGAGUGUAUAUAUCUAUAUAUAUAUAUAGAAAAUAUGAAAGUCAUCAUUAAUUGUUUAAAACUAAAAUAUUAUAAAUGCAUGUAAUAGUUUCUUAAUGUGUAAGAUUUUGAUUAAAAUAUACUUGAUUUGCCUGUUAAUUUAGAUAUAUCAACCACGUAGGAAAAUCAGAAGGGGGUGGCAAGAGAGAUGCUUUCUCUCAUUAAUGAAGUAGUUAAUUAACAUAUAAGAUUGAAAUUGAUAUUUUAUUCAUGUGCAGAUUAAUUGAUGUAAUUUGAUUUUGUGUCGUUUGAUAAAACUUACAAAGACAAGAUUCACGAAUUCCGAACUGAAGAAGAUAGAAAAUGAAAAGGAUUCUUCUCAAGUAGCUCACUUAAACUAAUUACAUGAUAUGCAAUUAUUAAUAUGUGUAUAUAAAAAAAAUCACAGUGACAAGAAAAUUACGUUGACUUUAUUUUUGGUACUUAAAGAUGACCUAGAAAGCAACAAGGGAAAAAGAAAGAGGGCAAAAGAAGAAAUUAAUCCCAUUAUAAUUAGAUGAACUUUCACAUGUUAUACAUUUAUAAAUUUUGAGUAAUAUAACUUCGUUUCUUAUUUUUAUAUAUUACAAAUUGUUAUUUAGUGGGUACAAUUUAAUAAAUAUUUAAGUUGUUAUAUGAUUAUUCUACAAGUAAUAUAUUUAUUGUGCAUGAAGCAAAAAGAAAAGUUGUUCUUCAUGGAGCAGAAGAAAAUGCGGAUAAGUGUAACUCAAACUACAAGUCAAGAUGUGCAUUGAAAAGGUACAAUAAAAAGAUGAAAGAGAAGAUUCCAGAGUCUAGUGAGAAUUCUUUAGGAGAGUAAUUCAUUAGGAUGAGCUUACAUUCAAAUAAAGGUGUUUCAGUUAAUGAUGAGGAGCAAAAGAUAUAUAUUGGUGGUCCUUGUUAGAAACUAUGAAGGAUCUCAAAUAUUUCUUUCAAUCUAAAUCUAGAACCAUCUGAAAAUCUCUCUUAACUCAACAAAUGGAUAAUAAUAUAAUAUUUCAACCUAAACCUAAAAUCACUAAUACUCAUAUUUUGGCAAUCACGCAUUGUGUAUAUAUUGCUUUUGCUUUUGCUUAAGAUGUUAUAUAUAUAUAUAUAUAUAUAUAAAUAUUAAUUAAGUAUUUGUUUAGAAUGUAAUCUUAUAUUUACGAUGUAAUCUCACAUUAACUAACUAUAAUAACCUAUAGUAAUAAUAUACUUUUUUACUAGCUACUCUUGUAAUAUCAUAACAUUUUAAGUCUAAAUCUAAUAAAAUUUUAAAACUAAUUAAGUAUUAUAUAACCUAUCUUUUGUUAAUAUUAUUCUAUCCAUACAUUAUCUCCUCAUAUAAACUCUUUAUAUGGUGAUCAUAUUAGGUAAGAAUCUAAUAGCAAUAUUAAUAGAAUUGAUUCGAUUGUUGUAGCUACAAUGGAUGAAAAGGCAACAAUCAAAAUAGAGAAAAUGACUGUGAAGAUCAUAGAUGAAUUAAUAUUAGAGAACUUAAAUCUGUCAACGAUACAAUGUAAUGAGAAAAUCAUUUUGUCUUUUGUAAAUAAAGAUUUCAAUUUGCAUGGAGCUGUUAGCAGAUGAUGUUGGGGUUAAAAUUGAUGUUGUGGGUUCUACAAAUGAAAUUACUUACUCCACAGCUGAAGAAUUAGAGUUGUUAAUAAUUCAAGUGAAUGGAUUUACUGGAGAAAGCUGUCCAGAUUUUGAGUCAAUAAUGAACGAGGUUCUUCGUCUUCUAGACCACCAUCAAUUCUAAUCACUAUAUUUAUACUUUUUUAAAUUUUCAGACAUUUUUAUUAUGUUAAACCCUUUAUCAUUAAACAUCUCUUUUUAUUGCCAUUUUGACAUGCUAUUAAAAAUUUUAUGCCUUACAUAUAAUAUACCUACCAAUAUGCGUGCAACGUAUAAUUUAUGUAUGAUAUAUGCAUACAAUAGUAUGUAUUAUUUCAUUUUCGUACAUGUCAUAUGCCUAGUGGCAUGCAUGCAAUGCAUGUUAAUACUAUUUACAUAUGAUAUAUGCAUUUUAAGUAUAGACAACUUGUGCUGCCUAAUAAUAAUAGUGAUCAUAUAAUAUGCACAUUAUAUAUACAAUAUACUCAUCAUAAAACAUGUAUGAUGAUCCAUGUGAAUACAUGCAAAUGUAUUGUGUAAUUAAAAGAAAGAAUUUGGUAACUAAUAGUAUCUCCAACAUAUCAAAAUUUAUCAUAAUUUGGGUAAGUGUAAUAUUAGUUAUAUGUAAAAAUUCAUCCAAAUUACAUCCCUAUAAAAGAAAUUCAACUUGCAUUUACACAUAUGAAAUGAAA